Molecule: small nucleolar RNA, 76 nt
Organism: Elgaria multicarinata webbii
Lineage: Eukaryota; Metazoa; Chordata; Lepidosauria; Squamata; Anguidae
Product: small nucleolar RNA SNORD5
Exons: 1
Source: RefSeq, a predicted model, not a curated record
GUUCAUGUGAUGACUUUUUUUCAGUUCAACUGCUGAGUGAUUUCAGAAAUGAACUAAAAUGAAUACUCUGACCAGA